AGAAAAUCCGUUGGCUUAAGUGACCGUGAGGGUUCAAGUCCCUCUUCCCCC
This 51-nucleotide transfer RNA is filed under the name Funaria hygrometrica. RNAcentral's name for it is "tRNA-Leu". Lineage: Eukaryota; Viridiplantae; Streptophyta; Bryopsida; Funariales; Funariaceae. The record is from RNAcentral.